Long non-coding RNA from Nothobranchius furzeri (turquoise killifish), 3318 nucleotides. RefSeq lists it as uncharacterized. NCBI's taxonomy places the organism in Eukaryota, Metazoa, Chordata, Actinopteri, Cyprinodontiformes, Nothobranchiidae. The record is from RefSeq and is a predicted model, not a curated record.
CACGAGCCACGAGGACAGACUGAUACGGCAGCCACACUUUUAAGUAAUCAUCAGGUCUGACUGAAACAGCGUUUCUGCCUUUUACAGGUGGACAGAAAAAAUAAUAAUGUUGACACAUUGUUGAUAAUAUUACUACAUUUCAAGGCUUUUUCAAUACAGUGAAAUUAGUUGAAACAGAGCCGAGUUGUAUUAGAAAACAGCAAUCCGCACAGCCCGACAGCCCGGCGAAUCUGGGAUGAAUUAGUGCUGCCUCAACCUCCUCGUCUUUCAUUGGGUCACUGAAGUUUAAAUUAAGUGGAUGAGAAACCCAUGGGGAGGGCUCUGCAUAAAUGAGAGUAAAGUUGAAUUUUAAACGCGUUAAAACUGUCACAAAGUGGCGUUAAAAGCGGCGUUUUAUGUCACAGAACGGCGAAAAAAGCGGCGUUCAAUGUCCGUACCAAACGCCGUAUUUUACGCCACCCACACAGAGAACGCGUCUGGGAUUAGGGUGACGUAAAAAACGGCGUUCAAUGUCCGGAAAAAACGGCGUAUUUUACGGGCGUUCUACGGGACCGUUCAGAACGGCGUAAAUUACGGCGUUCUGGCAGAGUUUUCGCCGUAUUUUACGACGUCUUGGCACAUCAAACGGCGUUUUUUUCGCCAUUUCUUAACUAGACGGGUUGGGAAAGUGGCGUAUUGUGACGGUUUUGGCUUGCCAUAUUGCGCUUCCGUAUUUUUCAACCGGCAACAUACUACUCCCGUUCGCGCUGAGUGGUCAGAAUGACUAUUUGUACGCGUUUGCUGCAAGACCUCCCAAUAAUAAUGGUUAACGAUGUACACCGAAUCUUUCUUGCCUCGUCCGAAACGCCAAAAUCAAAUAUGGACAAAGCUUGUAUUGUAUGUGCCCGGCUACAUACACAGCUGUGAAGAUUGUGCUAAGGGAUUCAAAGCCGGUGGGGGUGCCAGUGUACGUGUGGCUGGUGCAGCCUUGUGAUGUCAUGUGGCAACUCAACUCUACCAGACGGCACAUUUCUCCCAGCUGAAACUUACCCCCCCCCCAGUGUUGAGCUGCACAGAAACUGAACAACAGCGGCACGAAACGGGGACCAAGGUAUUAAACCAGGUCCCGUUAAUGACAUGGUCAUCAUAUCAGCCAGACCAAGAGAGAGGAGACCGGUAGAAGAAGCAGUUUGUAAAAAGGAGUCAGCUUCCCCAAUGACAGACAGCUUCGUUCUGAAGGUGCAGGAGGCGUACCACGGACUUGGGACAGAUGAGGCUCCGGUGAUAACAACCAUGGCUGUCUCUGGUGAUGUACCUCUGGGUGGGUCCACGUUUGGUUCGGUGCAGGAGGGAAGCGGGCCAUCUUACCAACUACCAGUGAGGACGGCCCCCAGGACGCGUCCACACAAAGACAACCCUUCUCUCCCACAACUGUCACUCUCUCAUUAUGGACUGGGACCCUCUGCAUGUGCAUUUGUGUUUGCUGAACAUCAUCAUUUCACAUCCCUCACAACAUCAUUGGGGAAAUCAUACAAAGCUGAGAACAGGACACAAUCGCAGAGUUUCUGUGUGGAGGGGCACCAACUAAGGCAGGGGUCGGCAACCCGCGGCUCUUUCUUCCAUCUGAUGCGGCUCACUGCUUGUAAACUAAUUAACAAAUGUUUAAUUACAAUGCAUUUUAUUUUACUGCAUUCAUUUUUUAUCUGUAGCCAAUUCGAAAUUGAAAGAUUGUGUGUGUAAACCUGAACAGGUCACCUGCUUGUGCGUAAUCAAAUGUCUCUAUAGGUGCUUUCUGUGCUGAAGAGGAUAUGAGAUUCUGGACUGUUCCUCAGACAGCCUCAUGGAUGCGUCGCAGUGUUGGAGGCAGGAACAAGCGCUAUUCAGCCAAAGUUUCAUAAUCAGGGAACAUUUUUUAAGUGACAAGUCUCUGAGAGACCGGGUUUAGAAAACAGAAUCUUUCUGCAUAGUUCUGGUUCUGCUAAGCGCUGCAAGCCCCCGAUCUGUUUUCAGCUUGCUGUCCACCAUACGCAUGCGCUGACAGCGAGCUGCGCUGAGCUCAGUGUCCAUCUCAGAUGUUCUGAUGAUGGGAAUCUUUUCCUGACUGAUGGAUGUAGCUACCUCCACGAUGUGCGUAACGAUUAAAAAGUCACCGCAUCUGCAGGCUUGAGGUUUCUCCGUCAAAAUAAAUACAGGAAAUAUCCAGUCAGUGCGAACCCUGUCAUUUAACCGUUUGACCUUCUUGUGAAGAUUGUUGCAAACAGAAACAUUAAAUCUGAUGAACACCAGAGCCACGCACACCGCUCCGUUAUCUCCGUUAGUGUAAAUGAGGGGAAUAAACUGAUUGGAUCCUUACCUUUUCAACAACGUUUAAUGCAAAGUUUAGUUCAGUACAAAGAUUAAUUACAACAGUCCAAUGAGACAGAGCCUGGAUUUGUAUUCAGAACAGUUAUGUGUGACUCCUCAAAAAGCAUCACCUGCUCAACGAUUAAAACCACUAGCAGGGUGAAAAAUAUCUAAAUAUUGUAUCACGGACGGGCUACAACUUUUGGAUCAAUUUUAUACAAACUGUUCUAUUAAUUAUCUCCUGUUGAAAGAUAAAUUUGAGGUACAUGAGCAACUGGCAUUGGUUGCUGUCACCUGUUGUGAUUGGUUAAAGCAGCUCUCUGCUAUCUGAGGGCAGGCCCCGCCCACAACGCCGCGGCUCCCAGUGUUUAUUGUGGGAAAUGGGUAAUAAUGGCUCUUUGAUGAGAAAAGGUUGCCGACCCCUGAACUAAGGAGAUGCCACAUCACUUCUACAAAAUUUAGAUGUGUGUCACACCAGGGCAGAAGGUUCUGCUGAGAACCUUGUGAAACGACUUGUGGGGGCAAGUAGUCAGACUGAUGACAAAUGUUGGGGUCUCGCUUUGGAGCCUACAGCCAUCGAGGAGCACUGCAAGGUAAGAGAGGUAAACCACUACCCAUGUGGGGUCCUGAUCCACGCUGAGGCACCAUGGAUGGGUUCAGCACCAGAUGGGAUUAUGUAUGAUCCAGAGGGCAGCCUGAGUGUGGCCUGUUGGAAAUGAAAUGCCCAAAUGUGUGUAGCUUUGUGGACUUAUGCUCAGAAAAGUUGUACACACACUGUGGCGUUCUCAUCCUUAUUACUGGCAGGUCGGGGGACAAAGGCUGAGUGUUCUGACUUUGUUGUUUACACCACAGAUGACAUGUUUAUUCAGCGAGUUCCCGUGACAUGAAAGUCAUACAGACACUUUUGUAAUGUUUUGAUUGCAGUUUGAACGUAAAGACUUACUGUGAAGCAAAUUCAGUUGAACUCUGCAGUGAAAUUAAAUAUUUCUGCAUUUU